This 426-nucleotide ribosomal RNA is filed under the name uncultured Lactobacillus sp. RNAcentral describes it as "bacterial SSU rRNA". It matches the Rfam family "Bacterial small subunit ribosomal RNA", at positions 355 to 773 of the family's 1533-position model. The record is from RNAcentral. Lineage: Bacteria; Bacillati; Bacillota; Bacilli; Lactobacillales; Lactobacillaceae.
UAGGGAAUCUUCCACAAUGGGCGCAAGCCUGAUGGAGCAACACCGCGUGAGUGAAGAAGGGUUUCGGCUCGUAAAGCUCUGUUGUUGGAGAAGAACGUGCGUGAGAGUAACUGUUCACGCAGUGACGGUAUCCAACCAGAAAGUCACGGCUAACUACGUGCCAGCAGCCGCGGUAAUACGUAGGUGGCAAGCGUUAUCCGGAUUUAUUGGGCGUAAAGCGAGCGCAGGCGGUUGCUUAGGUCUGAUGUGAAAGCCUUCGGCUUAACCGAAGAAGUGCAUCGGAAACCGGGCGACUUGAGUGCAGAAGAGGACAGUGGAACUCCAUGUGUAGCGGUGGAAUGCGUAGAUAUAUGGAAGAACACCAGUGGCGAAGGCGGCUGUCUGGUCUGCAACUGACGCUGAGGCUCGAAAGCAUGGGUAGCGAAC